UUUAAUAUUUAUCAAGAUCACUUUUGGUCAACAAAAGUAAUCCCAUUACACUUAAAUCAAAUUAGUGAAACAAAUCACCAACAAACCUCCCCCAUUUAAGUGUAAUCUUGAUUAAUUUAAAACAAAAAACAUAACAACAAACUGAUGCAUAAAUGAAAUAUAGUGACGAUUGAAUUUCACAUUAGUAUAUUAUUCAUUCCAAAUAUUCGAAUAUCAGGGUGUCACUAAGGAUUGAACCCUUUCUAUUCUAAGUGAAUACAUGAAGAUAAUAUACACAACAAUUUACAUUCUCUAAGUUCUAGCUUGACACUAUAUUUUACUAGCUUGUGUCCCAUCCUUCAAUAAGCAUAUCAAAGUCAAGUCCCAACUUCUUGAAGCAGCUAAACUUCAUGCUUAUAUAGGUAGUUCUUUUGUUCUUGNCUUGAAGCAGCUAAGCUUCAUGCUUAUAUAGGUAGUUCUUUUGUUCUUGCACCUGCAAAUGCAAUUUUUCAAAGAACUGUUAAGAAAUAAAAUUUCAACCUCC
Molecule: long non-coding RNA, 523 nt
Filed under: Lactuca sativa (garden lettuce)
Lineage: Eukaryota; Viridiplantae; Streptophyta; Magnoliopsida; Asterales; Asteraceae
Description: long non-coding RNA (LSAT_LNC007201)
Source: RNAcentral